AACGCGAAGAACCUUACCUGGGCUCGAAAUGUAGUGGACCGGAGUAGAAAUAUUCCUUCUCAGCAAUGGGCCGCUAUAUAGGUGCUGCAUGGCUGUCGUCAGCUCGUGUCGUGAGAUGUUGGGUUAAGUCCCGCAACGAGCGCAACCCUCGCCCUUAGUUGCCAUCAUUCAGUUGGGCACUCUAGGGGGACUGCCGGUGAUAAGCCGAGAGGAAGGUGGGGAUGACGUCAAGUCCUCAUGGCCCUUACGGGCUGGGCUACACACGUGCUACAAUGGCGGUGACAAUGGGAGGCUGAGGGGCGACCCCGAGCAAAUCUCAAAAAGCCGUCUCAGUUCGGAUUGCACUCUGCAACUCGAGUGCAUGAAGGUGGAAUCGCUAGUAAUCGUAGAUCAGAACGCUACGGUGAAUACGUUCCCGGGCCUUGUACACACCGUAGAGAC
This 441-nucleotide ribosomal RNA is filed under the name uncultured bacterium. RNAcentral describes it as "bacterial SSU rRNA". It matches the Rfam family "Bacterial small subunit ribosomal RNA", at positions 958 to 1400 of the family's 1533-position model. The record is from RNAcentral.